Molecule: RNA transcript, 1587 nt
Organism: Oncorhynchus keta (chum salmon)
Lineage: Eukaryota; Metazoa; Chordata; Actinopteri; Salmoniformes; Salmonidae
Exons: 5
Source: RefSeq, a predicted model, not a curated record
AGAAUACAUUACACAGGUAAGAAUACAGAGAUUAGAAUACAUUACACAGAUAAGAAUACAGAGAUUAGAAUACAUUACACAGAUAAGAAUACAGAGAUUAGAAUACAUUACACAGAUAAGAAUACAGAGAUUAGAAUACAUUACACAGAUAAGAAUACAGAGAUUAGAAUACAUUACACAGAUAAGAAUACAGAGAUUAGAAUACAUUACACAGAUAAGAAUACAGAGAUUAGAAUACAUUACACAGAUAAGAAUACAGAGAUUAGAAUACAUUACACAGAUAAGAAUACAGAGAUUAGAAUACAUUACACAGGUGAGAUUAGAACACAUUGCACAGAUAAGAAUACAGAGAUUAGAAUACAUUACACAGGUAAGAAUACAGAGAUUAGAAUACAUUACACAGGUAAGAAUACAGAGAUUAGAAUACAUUACACAGAUAAGAAUACAGAGAUUAGAAUACAUUACGCAGAUAAGAAUACAGAGAUUAGAAUACAUUACACAGAUAAAAAUACAGAGAUUAGAAUACAUUACACAGGUGAGAUUAGAAUACAUUACACAGAUAAGAAUACAGAGAUUAGAAUACAUUACACAGGUAAGAAUACAGAAAUUAGAAUACAUUACACAGAUAAGAAUACAGAGAUUAGAAUACAUUACACAGGUAAGAAUACAGAGAUUAGAAUACAUUACACAGGUAAGAAUACAGAGAUUAGAAUACAUUACACAGAUAAGAAUACAGAGAUUAGAAUACAUUACACAGGUGAGAUUAGAAUAUAUUACACAGGUAAAAAAUAAAGAGAUUAGAAUACAUUACACAGGUGAGAUUAGAACACAUUACACAGAAAAGAAUAAAGAGAUUACAUUACACAGGUAAUAAUAAAGAGAUUACAUUACACAGAUAAGAAUAAAGAGAUUACAUUACACAGGUGAGAUUAGAAUAUAUUACACAGGUAAUAAUAAAGAGAUUACAUUACACAGGUGAGAUUAGAAUAUAUUACACAGGUAAUAAUAAAGAGAUUACAUUACACAGGUAAUAAUAAAGAGAUUACAUUACACAGAUAAGAAUAAAGAGAUUACAUUACACAGGUGAGAUUAGAAUAUAUUACACAGGUAAUAAUAAAGAGAUUACAUUACACAGGUAAUAAUAAAGAGAUUACAUUACACAGAUAAGAAUAAAGAGAUUACAUUACACAGGUGAGAUUAGAAUAUAUUACACAGGUAAUAAUAAAGAGAUUACAUUACACAGGUGAGAUUAGAAUAUAUUACACAGGUAAUAAUAAAGAGAUUACAUUACACAGGUAAUAAUAAAGAGAUUACAUUACACAGAUAAGAAUAAAGAGAUUACAUUACACAGGUGAGAUUAGAAUAUAUUACACAGGUAAUAAUAAAGAGAUUACAUUACACAGGUGAGAUUAGAAUAUAUUACACAGGUAAUAAUAAAGAGAUUACAUUACACAGGUAAGAAUACAGAGAUUAGAACACAUUACACAGGUAAGAAUACAGAUAUAAGAAUACAUUACUCAGAUAUUGAGGCAUUAAUGCAUAUUCUAGGGAUUAGAAUACAUUAUGGAUAAUAGGCAGAACUGCAUG